Callithrix jacchus (white-tufted-ear marmoset) is the source of this 2138-nucleotide long non-coding RNA. The record is from Ensembl. Lineage: Eukaryota; Metazoa; Chordata; Mammalia; Primates; Cebidae.
UCCAAAAAUGAUCCCCUUUACUUUAAAGUAUAUCCACAGACACCCACAGAAAACCUAUUACCUGAUAUUUGGGGAGCCUUUCAUCAAAUUUGGUGAUUCAGUUGUCUUCAUAGAAAAGAACGUCAAAAGUUUUAGAACGCUGACAGAGUAGCUUCAUAUGACUCCUUCAGUGCCUCCUUUCCUGGAAAAUAUGAAAUGGACAAAGGGCUUGAGCAGAAAUAAAGUUAGACCCAGAACCUAAUGAGGGGAGGGGGCAUAUUUCUUAACAUGCUGAUGGAUGAAUGGGAAAUUUAAAACUUGAGUGUUGUAAAAGCUAAUGCUUUUAGGGCCGGGCGCGGUGGCUCAAGCCUGUAAUCCCAGCACUUUGGGAGGCCGAGGCGGGUGGAUCACGAGGUCAAGAGAUCAAGACCAUCCUGGCCAACAUGGUGAAACCCUGUCACUACUAAAAAUUCAAAAAUUAGCUGGGCUUGGUGGCAGGCACCUGUAAUCCCAGCUACUCAGGAGGCUGAGGCAAGAGAAUCGCUUGAACCCGGGAGGCGGGGGUUGCAGUAAGCCAAGACCAUGCAGCUUGUGGGGCUGCAUUUCAGUCUGGGCAACAAGAGUGAAACUCCAUCUCAAAAAAAAAAAAAAAAGAAAGGAUAAAUGCUUGACUAUUCACAAUAGCAAAGACAUGAAAUCAAGCUAAAUGCCCAUAAUAAUAGAAUGGAUAAAGAAAAUAUGAUACAUAUACACCAUGGAAUACUAUGCAGCCAUAAAAAGGAAUGAUAUCAUGCCUUUGCAGUGACAUGGAUGAAGUUUGAAGCUAUUAUUAUCCUCAGCCAGCUAACACAGAAACAGAAAAACAAAGACCCCAUGUUCUCACUGAUAAGUGGCAGCUGAAUGAUAAGAACACAUGGACAUAAUGGGGAACAACACACACUAGGGCCUGUUGAAGGGGGUUAUGUGGGAGGGAGAGCAUCAGGAAGAAUAGCUGAUGAAUGCUGGGCUUAAUACUUAGAUGGGACGAUGUGUAGUAAACUACUAUGGCAUACGUUUAUCUAUGUGACAAACCUGCAUAUCUUGAACAUGUAUCCCUGAGCUUAAAAUAAAAGUUGAAACAAAAAACUAUUAUUUGUGAAUAAAGUUAUACCUUUUUCAUUAAAAAAAAAGGAAUAAAUGGUUGGUUUCUGUCCAAUUCAGUAAAGAAGUAAAGUGUAUUUUUUGUUCUUUUUAUUUUUUUUGUUGUUGUUGUUGACCAUAGCAAGGACAUAAAGUGUACUUAUGUCAUAAUGUUGGCAGUUAUUUUUGUUUUGUUUAUACUGAGAAAAAACUAAAGUGAAACAAUGAAGAUGUAUGUAGGAUCUUUACUUGUUCAAUGAUGUAAGCAACUUCUUUGCUGAAUCACAUGAUAUUUUUUAGUUUUCAAAUACUAAAAUAUUUCGUCAAUGGGAGGGGGCUGGCUAUUCACAAUGUGACAGUUGCAGAUAGAAUAUAUUUUGUUUUUUUGUUUUUUUUUUGAGACGGAGUUUUGCUCUUGUUACCCAGGCUGAAGUGCAAUGGCGGAUCUCGGCUCACCACAACCUCUGCCUCCUGGGUUCAGGCAAUUCUCCUGCCUCAGCCUCCUGAGUAGCUGGGAUUACAGGCACGUGCCACCAUGCCCAGCUAAUUUUUUGUAUCUUUAGUAGAGACGGGGUUUCACCAUGUUGACCAGGAUGGUCUCGAUCUCUUGACCUCGUGAUCCACCCGCCUCGGCUUCCCAAAGUGCUGGGAUUACAGGCUUGAGCCACCGCGCCCGGCCUCACUGUUUUUUUAAACGUUUGCCAUUCAAUAUUCAUUUUCACUGUUUAAGGAAAACGUUAAGACUUAGCGCCCACAGCAAAGAGCAGGUAUUAAAAAUCGAAUGAGUUUCCAAAAGAAAAAAACAAAGUUACACCUCGAUACAAAUAAAACUUGGCCAAGGUGUGGCCCACCCCUUUCUGUUCCACUGUUUUCAAAUAAGCCACCUCUGCCUUCGUGGACUGCGAGCUAGUGGCUCCGGGUUGUGACACCACUACAUCCCAGCUUCAAAUCUCCCCUUGCCGGCCUUCUGGGGGCAAAUAAUAAAAUUAGCAUCCUAAACUACAAGUCGUGAGACUGCUCAGGAACAAUCUUAAUUUGCA